Molecule: ribosomal RNA, 420 nt
Filed under: uncultured bacterium
Lineage: Bacteria
Description: bacterial SSU rRNA
Rfam family: Bacterial small subunit ribosomal RNA
Source: RNAcentral
ACGGGUGAGUAACACGUAUGCAACCUACCUUUAACAGGGGAAUAACCCGUUGAAAAACGGACUAAUACUCCAUAACACAGGGGUCCCGCAUGGGAAUAUUUGUUAAAGAUUAAUCGGUUGAAGAUGGGCAUGCGUUCCAUUAGCUUGUUGGUGAGGUAACGGCUCACCAAGGCCACGAUGGAUAGGGGAACUGAGAGGUUUAUCCCCCACACUGGAACUGAGACACGGUCCAGACUCCUACGGGAGGCAGCAGUGAGGAAUAUUGGUCAAUGGAGGCAACUCUGAACCAGCCAAGUCGCGUGAAAGGAUGAAGGUCUUAUGGAUUGUAAACUUCUUUUGCAAGGGAAUAAAGUGGGGGACGUGUCCUCCUUUGCAUGUACCUUGCGAAUAAGGAUCGGCUAACUCCGUGCCAGCCGCAGC